Molecule: ribosomal RNA, 114 nt
Filed under: Streptococcus pneumoniae
Lineage: Bacteria; Bacillati; Bacillota; Bacilli; Lactobacillales; Streptococcaceae
Source: RNAcentral
AGUGACGAUAGCCUAGGAGAUACACCUGUACCGAUGCCGAACACAGAAGUUAAGCCCUAGAACGCCGGAAGUAGUUGGGGGUUGCCCCCUGUGAGAUAGGGAAGUCGCUUAGCU